This 451-nucleotide ribosomal RNA is filed under the name uncultured bacterium. RNAcentral describes it as "partial 16S ribosomal RNA". It matches the Rfam family "Bacterial small subunit ribosomal RNA", at positions 29 to 523 of the family's 1533-position model. The record is from RNAcentral.
AACGAACGCUGGCGGCAGGCCUAAUACAUGCAAGUCGAACGGAUGUAGCAAUACAUUAGUGGCGCACGGGUGCCUAACGCGUGGGAACAUACCCUUGAGUAAGGAAUAAUGUCUGGAAACGGACACUAAUACCUUAUAAUGACUUCGGUCCAAAGAUUUAUCGCUCAAGGAUUGGCCCGCGUCUGAUUAGCUAGUUGGUGAGGUAACGGCUCACCAAGGCGACGAUCAGUAGCUGGCCUGAGAGGAUGAUCGGCCACACUGGGACUGAGACACGGCCCAGACUCCUACGGGAGGCAGCAGUAAGGAAUAUUGGACAAUGGAGGAAACUCUGAUCCAGCCAUGCCGCGUGAGUGAAGAAGGCCUUAGGGUUGUAAAGCUCUUUCAAUGGUGAAGAUAAUGACGGUAGCCAUAGAAGAAGCCCCGGCUAAAUUCGUGCCAGCCGCCGCGGUAA